AAAGUCCUACGGUGUAAGGUACAAGCUAUACCGCACCAAGCGAGUCUUGGGUGGACAGCAGAGAUGCUGUCUGCUAAGCGUAGACAGCGAGAUUGCAGGGCAUAACUGCACAUAGCUUCGAUAUGAAAAUGAAAGUGGGAAGGCAGAGGUGCUCCUAUACACUGAAAGCAACAUAACUGUAGUCACUAAGAGCGAGAAUACAGUUGCUUCCCCGGAGUUUUGAGGU
Non-coding RNA from Clostridium sp., 226 nucleotides. The record is from Rfam. Lineage: Bacteria; Bacillati; Bacillota; Clostridia; Eubacteriales; Clostridiaceae.